UACGGAGGGUGCAAGCAUUGAUCGGAAUUACUGGGCGUAAAGGGCGCGUAGGCGGCCAUAAAAGUCGGAUGUGAAAUUCCGGGGCUCAACCCCGGAGCUGCAUUUGAAACUCUAUGGCUAGAGUACAGUUAGGGAAAUCGGAAUUCCACGUGUAGCGGUGAAAUGCGUAGAUAUGUGGAAGAACACCGGUGGUGAAGACGGAUUUCUGGGCUGUAACUGACGCUGAGGCGCGAAAGCAUGGGGAGCAAACAGG
RNAcentral lists this ribosomal RNA (253 nucleotides) under uncultured bacterium. Its description in RNAcentral is "partial 16S ribosomal RNA". It matches the Rfam family "Bacterial small subunit ribosomal RNA", at positions 524 to 776 of the family's 1533-position model. The record is from RNAcentral.